This 336-nucleotide unclassified non-coding RNA is filed under the name soil metagenome. Its description in RNAcentral is "partial contains 5.8S ribosomal RNA, internal transcribed spacer 2, and large subunit ribosomal RNA". The stretch from base 1 to 120 matches the Rfam family "5.8S ribosomal RNA", at positions 35 to 154 of the family's 154-position model. The record is from RNAcentral.
GAUGAAGAACGCAGCGAAAUGCGAUAAGUAAUGUGAAUUGCAGAAUUCAGUGAAUCAUCGAAUCUUUGAACGCACAUUGCGCCCGCCAGUAUUCUGGCGGGCAUGCCUGUUCGAGCGCCAUUUCAACCAUCAAGCCCCCCGGCUUGUGUUGGGGACCUGCGGCUGCCGCAGGCCCUGAAAAGCAGUGGCGGGCUCGCUGUCACACCGAGCGUAGUAGAUCUCAUCUCGCUCAGGGCGUGCUGCGGGUUCCGGCCGUUAAACCACCUUCAUAACCCAAGGUUGACCUCGGAUCAGGUAGGAAGACCCGCUGAACUUAAGCAUAUCAAUAACGGAGGA